This 23-nucleotide non-coding RNA is filed under the name Cricetulus griseus (Chinese hamster). The record is from RNAcentral. Lineage: Eukaryota; Metazoa; Chordata; Mammalia; Rodentia; Cricetidae.
UGCUGUGUGAAGGCAACCCUUUG